Molecule: long non-coding RNA, 316 nt
Organism: Manis pentadactyla (Chinese pangolin)
Lineage: Eukaryota; Metazoa; Chordata; Mammalia; Pholidota; Manidae
Exons: 2
Source: RefSeq, a predicted model, not a curated record
CUGGUCAUCUACAUUUGCCUUCUUACAGCACUAAACUAUGUUUACUGCCUUUAUCUUGCAUCUACCUACCACUUCAGCAUUUUAUUAAAAAUAAUAAUAGUAAUAAUAAUAGGAGAAAUGUGGGAUUCACAUAUAAAUCAAGUAUAAAAAUCAAAUGAAUAAUCAUACCUGACUUGAUUGUUUAUAGUUCAUGAUGAGUGAUCAAAACCGAAAGUUUCUGUGAUAUGACUGCCCUUGCACUGUUCACCAUGUAAGAACUUAUUCACUAUGUAAGAACUUGUUCACCAUGUAAGAACGUGUUUGUUAUGCUUCAGAA